RNAcentral lists this ribosomal RNA (620 nucleotides) under Hyphobacterium vulgare. RNAcentral's name for it is "bacterial SSU rRNA". It matches the Rfam family "Bacterial small subunit ribosomal RNA", at positions 115 to 770 of the family's 1533-position model. The record is from RNAcentral. Lineage: Bacteria; Pseudomonadati; Pseudomonadota; Alphaproteobacteria; Maricaulales; Maricaulaceae.
GCGUGGGAACAUGCCCAUCAGUACGGAAUAGCUCCGGGAAACUGGAAUUAAUACCGUAUACGUCCUUCGGGAGAAAGAUUUAUCGCUGAUGGAUUGGCCCGCGUUAGAUUAGCUAGUUGGUGAGGUAAAAGCUCACCAAGGCGACGAUCUAUAGCUGGUCUGAGAGGAUGAUCAGCCACACUGGGACUGAGACACGGCCCAGACUCCUACGGGAGGCAGCAGUGGGGAAUCUUGGACAAUGGGGGAAACCCUGAUCCAGCCAUGCCGCGUGAAUGAUGAAGGCCUUAGGGUUGUAAAAUUCUUUCAGCAGGGAAGAUAAUGACGGUACCUGCAGAAGAAGCCCCGGCUAACUCCGUGCCAGCAGCCGCGGUAAUACGGAGGGGGCUAGCGUUGUUCGGAAUUACUGGGCGUAAAGCGCACGUAGGCGGCUAGGAAAGUCAGAGGUGAAAGCCCAGGGCUCAACCCUGGAAUUGCCUUUGAAACUAUCUAGCUAGAGUUCGGGAGAGGUGAGUGGAAUUCCGAGUGUAGAGGUGAAAUUCGUAGAUAUUCGGAGGAACACCAGAGGCGAAGGCGACUCACUGGACCGAUACUGACGCUGAGGUGCGAAAGCGUGGGGAGCA